UUAAGUUCAGCGGGUAUUCCUACCUGAUCCGAGGUCAACCUUAGAAAAUAGUUUAAGGAGACCGGCCCGCUGGGUCCCACCCGAUGCGUGCUCUCGAAAGAAGCUCGUUGCACCAAGGGUCCCAGUGGGAACCGUCAUUGUCUUUGGGACCAGUUGGUCGUCGCCAACCAACGCGGGUCCAACACCAAACACGAGGUUUG
RNAcentral lists this unclassified non-coding RNA (200 nucleotides) under Trichomeriaceae sp. RNAcentral describes it as "partial internal transcribed spacer 2". The record is from RNAcentral. Lineage: Eukaryota; Fungi; Ascomycota; Eurotiomycetes; Chaetothyriales; Trichomeriaceae.